GAUGAACGCUGGCGGCGUGCCUAAUACACGCAAGUCGAGCGAACGGACGAGAAGCUUGCUUCUCUGAUGUUAGCGGCGGACGGGUGAGUAACACGUGGAUAACCUACCUAUAAGACUGGGAUAACUUCGGGAAACCGUAGCUAAUACCUGAUAAUAUUUUGAACCGCAUGGUUCAAAAGUGAAAGACGGUCUUGCUGUCACUUAUAGAUGGAUCCGCGCUGCAUUAGCUAGUUGGUAAGGUAACGGCUUACCAAGGCAACGAUGCAUAGCCGACCUGAGAGGGUGAUCGGCCACACUGGAACUGAGACACGGUCCAGACUCCUACGGGAGGCAGCAGUAGGGAAUCUUCCGCAAUGGGCGAAAGCCUGACGGAGCAACGCCGCGUGAGUGAUGAAGGUCUUCGGAUCGUAAAACUCUGUUAUUAGGGAAGAACAUAUGUGUAAGUAACUGUGCACAUCUUGACGGUACCUAAUCAGAAAGCCACGGCUAACUACGUG
RNAcentral lists this ribosomal RNA (497 nucleotides) under uncultured bacterium. RNAcentral describes it as "partial 16S ribosomal RNA". It matches the Rfam family "Bacterial small subunit ribosomal RNA", at positions 28 to 507 of the family's 1533-position model. The record is from RNAcentral.